GUGGAUUAGUGGCGAACGGGAUGAGUAACACGUUGGGCAAUCUGCCCUUCACUCUGGGACAAGCCCUGGAAACGGGGUCUAAUACCGGAUAAUACUUUCUCUCUCAUGGGGGAAGGUUAAAAGCUCCGGCGGUGAAGGAUGAGCCCGCGGCCUAUCAGCUAGUUGGUGGGGUAAUGGCCUACCAAGGCGACGACGGGUAGCCGGCCUGAGAGGGCGACCGGCCACACUGGGACUGAGACACGGCCCAGACUCCUACGGGAGGCAGCAGUGGGGAAUAUUGCACAAUGGGCGAAAGCCUGAUGCAGCGACGCCGCGUGAGGGAUGACGGCCUUCGGGUUGUAAACCUCUUUCAGCAGGGAAGAAGCGAAAGUGACGGUACCUGCAGAAGAAGCGCCGGCUAACUACGUGCCAGCAGCCGCGGUAAUACGUAGGGCGCAAGCGUUGUCCGGAAUUAUUGGGCGUAAAGAGCUCGUAGGCGGCUUGUUGCGUCCGUUGUGAAAGCCCGGGGCUUAACCCCGGGUCUGCAGUCGAUACUGGCAGGCUAAAGUGUGGUAGGGGAGAUCGGAAUUCCUGGUGUAGCGGUGAAAUGCGCAGAUAUCAGAGGAACACCGGUGGCGAAG
This 620-nucleotide ribosomal RNA is filed under the name Streptomyces sp. 523(2010). RNAcentral describes it as "bacterial SSU rRNA". It matches the Rfam family "Bacterial small subunit ribosomal RNA", at positions 87 to 720 of the family's 1533-position model. Lineage: Bacteria; Bacillati; Actinomycetota; Actinomycetes; Kitasatosporales; Streptomycetaceae. The record is from RNAcentral.